Molecule: ribosomal RNA, 428 nt
Filed under: Bracon sp.
Lineage: Eukaryota; Metazoa; Arthropoda; Insecta; Hymenoptera; Braconidae
Description: partial 16S ribosomal RNA
Source: RNAcentral
GUCUUAAAGAAAAUUUAAUUUUAAGUCUAAUCUGCCCAAUGAUUAUUAUUUAAUGGCUGCAGUAUCCAUAACUGUACAAAGGUAGCAUAAUAACUUGUUUUUUAAUUAAAAACUAGAAUGAAAGAUUAAAUGAAAUAUAAACUGUUUCAAUUAAAAAUAAAUUUAAUUUAUUAUUUAAGUAAAAAAACUUAAAUAAUUUUUAAAGACGACAAGACCCUAUAGAAUUUUAUUUAUUAUUUUAAUUAAAUUUUUAUACUUAUAUUCAAAUAAUAAAUUUAAUUGGGGUAAUUAAAAAAUUAAAAAAAUUUUUUUUUAAAAAUACAUUCAUAUAUGAAUUUUUUAUCUUAAUAUUUAAAUUAAAAAAAUUAAUUACCUUAGGGAUAACAGCAUAAUUUUUUUUAAAAGAUCAUAUUUAUAAAAAAGAUUAU